GACGAACGCCGGCGGUGUGCUUAACACAUGCAAGUCGAACGGUAAGGCCCUUCGGGGUACACGAGUGGCGAACGGGUGAGUAACACGUGGGUGAUCUGCCCUGCACUUCGGGAUAAGCCUGGGAAACUGGGUCUAAUACCGGAUAGGACCACUGCCUGCAUGGGUGGUGGUGUAAAGCUUUUGCGGUGUGGGAUGGGCCCGCGGCCUAUCAGCUUGUUGGUGGAGUGAUGGCCUAGCAAGGCGACGACGGGUAGCCGGCCUGAGAGGGUGACCGGCCACACUGGGACUGAGAUACGGCCCAGACUCCUACGGGAGGCAGCAGUGGGGAAUAUUGCACAAUGGGCGCAAGCCUGAUGCAGCGACGCCGCGUGAGGGAUGACGGCCUUCGGGUUGUAAACCUCUUUCAGCACCGACGAAGCGCAAGUGACGGUAGGUGCAGAAGAAGGACCGGCCAACUACGUGCCAGCAGCCGCAGUAA
RNAcentral lists this ribosomal RNA (478 nucleotides) under uncultured bacterium. RNAcentral's name for it is "partial 16S ribosomal RNA". It matches the Rfam family "Bacterial small subunit ribosomal RNA", at positions 28 to 523 of the family's 1533-position model. The record is from RNAcentral.